This 524-nucleotide ribosomal RNA is filed under the name uncultured microorganism. Its description in RNAcentral is "bacterial SSU rRNA". It matches the Rfam family "Bacterial small subunit ribosomal RNA", at positions 9 to 515 of the family's 1533-position model. The record is from RNAcentral.
GAGUUUGAUCGUGGCUCAGGAUGAACGCUGGCGGCGUGCCUAAUACAUGCAAGUCGAGCGAACAGACGAGGAGCUUGCUCCUCUGACGUUAGCGGCGGACGGGUGAGUAACACGUGGAUAACCUACCUAUAAGACUGGGAUAACUUCGGGAAACCGGAGCUAAUACCGAAUAAUAUAUUGAACCGCAUGGUUCAAUAGUGAAAAACGGUUUUGCUGUCACUUAUAGAUGGAUCCGCGCCGCAUUAGCUAGUUGGUAGGGUAACGGCUUACCAAGGCGACGAUGCGUAGCCGACCUGAGAGGGUGAUCGGCCACACUGGAACUGAGACACGGUCCAGACUCCUACGGGAGGCAGCAGUAGGGAAUCUUCCGCAAUGGGCGAAAGCCUGACGGAGCAACGCCGCGUGAGUGAUGAAGGUCUUCGGAUCGUAAAACUCUGUUAUUAGGGAAGAACAAAUGUGUAAGUAACUAUGCACGUCUUGACGGUACCUAAUCAGAAAGCCACGGCUAACUACGUGCCAGCACG